GGGUCGGUACCAAAGUGGUUAACUGGGCGUGACUGUAAAUCACGUGGUUUUAUACCUACGCAGGUUCGAAUCCUGCCCGGCCCACCA
Molecule: transfer RNA, 87 nt
Filed under: Patescibacteria group bacterium
Lineage: Bacteria
Also listed under: 1 other name
Description: tRNA-Tyr
Rfam family: tRNA
About the family: Transfer RNA (tRNA) molecules are approximately 80 nucleotides in length. Their secondary structure includes four short double-helical elements and three loops (D, anti-codon, and T loops).
Source: RNAcentral